UGGGGAAUCUUCCGCAAUGGACGAAAGUCUGACGGAGCAACGCCGCGUGAGUGAAGACGGCCUUCGGGUUGUAAAGCUCUGUUAUUCGGGAAGAAAGAGCCGCUUGUAAAUAAUGAGCGGAAGUGACGGUACCGAAAGAGAAAGCCACGGCUAACUACGUGCCAGCAGCCGCGGUAAUACGUAGGUGGCAAGCGUUGUCCGGAAUUGUUGGGCGUAAAGAGCGCGUAGGCGGUCAUGCAAGUCAAUCUUAAAAGUGCGGGGCUUAACCCCGUGAUGGGAUUGAAACUGUAUGACUUGAGUAUCGGAGAGGAAAGUAGAAUUCCUAGUGUAGCGGUGGAAUGCGUAGAGAUUAGGAAGAAUACCGGUGGCGAAGGCGACUUUCUGGACGAAGACUGACGCUGAGGCGCGAAAGCGUGGGGAGCAAACAGG
This 429-nucleotide ribosomal RNA is filed under the name Bacteroidota bacterium. RNAcentral's name for it is "Bacteroidetes bacterium partial 16S ribosomal RNA". It matches the Rfam family "Bacterial small subunit ribosomal RNA", at positions 355 to 776 of the family's 1533-position model. Lineage: Bacteria; Pseudomonadati; Bacteroidota. The record is from RNAcentral.